This is a long non-coding RNA of Serinus canaria (Common canary), 977 nucleotides long. RefSeq lists it as uncharacterized. The transcript has 3 exons. The record is from RefSeq and is a predicted model, not a curated record. NCBI's taxonomy places the organism in Eukaryota, Metazoa, Chordata, Aves, Passeriformes, Fringillidae.
CCUGAGCGGGGGGGGAAGCGGCUCCGGGAGGAGUGGGGACAGAGCGGGCACAGGAGGGCGAGAGAGACCGGGAACGGGAGAGGAGGAGAACGAGCAGAAGAGGUAACGGGUCGGUAAAGUCGCUGCUGCUGCCGCCGUUUGUCCCUUUGUCCCCGAGAGGAAGGGAGGAUGCGUGCUGAUGUCUUUACAAACAAUUCGAUGGGUGAAGGUGCAGCCAAAGAUCUGCAAGCAAAGGCAAAAUCUGAGGAGCAAGUGCCUGGGCUGUCCCAGCCCCAGCAGCAGGGCUGGGUGCCUGUGCCUGCUAGGAUGAAUAGGAUGAAUAAGGAUGAAUAAAUUCAGGAGAAUAACGCAAACAUCAACAGCCUGGAAAGGAGCAGAGAAUUGAGGGAGGAACAAGAAAAAGAAAGUCAAUACUAGCCUGUUCUGCUUUAUAAUGAAGUGUCUGGGGAUGCAAACGAGGAGCAGGUUCUAGAACUGAGAGCUGCAGGUUUUGGUCACCAGGCACUUGGAACUCUGAACACGAAGAAAAAUUCAGCUGACAACCAUCUUGGAAAGAUUGCUGGAAUAAAUACUCUCUCUCUAGUAGACUAUCACUACCAACCUCCCUGUGAUGACCUGGCUCCUAAGAAGUCCUUUAGAGAAAAAUCUGUCAUCAGUGCUGCAGAUUUCAGACAAGCACAGGAGAUCUUCCUUGCUCUUUGAGGCAUAUGAACAAAAUUCUCAUUAAUGUUAAUAGUAAUAAAUUAUUCAAGACUUACUGCUAUUUAAAGCCAAAUAGAUGGCAUCACUCACAUCUGGGAAUUCUACAUGUGGCCAUAUUCCAGGCAAAAAUAAAAGAUAUGGGAUGACAUCUGUUGGAAGACAGACACGUGGGCUUUACAUUCUCAUUGAGCAUCUCCUGCAUUCAGCCUAUCACUGCUGAUUGUACUGCAGCAUAUUUUGUACAAGGUGAAGAGCCACUCUUUCUGUUGCUGUUA